UACGAAGGGGGCUAGCGUUGCUCGGAAUUACUGGGCGUAAAGCGCACGUAGGUGGCUUUUUAAGUCGGGGGUGAAAUCCUGGAGCUUAACUCCAGAACUGCCCUCGAUACUGGGAAGCUUGAGUUCGGGAGAGGUGAGUGGAACUGCGAGUGUAGAGGUGAAAUUCGUAGAUAUUCGCAAGAACACCAGUGGCGAAGGCGGCUCACUGGCCCGAUACUGACGCUGAGGUGCGAAAGCGUGGGGAGCAAACAGG
This 253-nucleotide ribosomal RNA is filed under the name uncultured bacterium. Its description in RNAcentral is "partial 16S ribosomal RNA". It matches the Rfam family "Bacterial small subunit ribosomal RNA", at positions 524 to 776 of the family's 1533-position model. The record is from RNAcentral.